Molecule: unclassified non-coding RNA, 437 nt
Filed under: uncultured Tomentella
Lineage: Eukaryota; Fungi; Basidiomycota; Agaricomycetes; Thelephorales; Thelephoraceae
Description: sequence contains ITS2
Rfam family: 5.8S ribosomal RNA (bases 1-155)
Source: RNAcentral
AACUUUCAGCAAUGGAUCACUAGGCUCUUGCAACGAUGAAGAACGCAGCGAAAUGCGAUAAGUAAUGUGAAUUGCAGAAUUCAGUGAAUCAUCGAAUCUUUGAACGCACCUUGCGCCCUUUGGCUAUUCCGAAGGGCAUGCCUGUUUGAGUAUCAUGAACACCUCAACUCUCAUGGUUUGCCAUGAUGAGCUUGGACUUUGGAGGUCUUGCUGGCCAGCGGUCGGCUCCUCUCAAAUGAAUCAGCUUGCCAGUGUUUGGCGGCGCCACAGGUGUGAUAACUAUCUACGCUUGUGGUUUCCUGUCAGGUUUCCUUCAGUGAUGGAGGUUCGCUGGAGCUCAUAAAUGUCCCUCCCCAGUGAGGGCAACUUCAUGAAUGUUUGAUCUCAAAUCAGGUAGGACUACCCGCUGAACUUAAGCAUAUCAAUAAGCGGAGGCU